UUCCGGUUGAUCCUGCCGGACCUGACUGCUAUCGGAUUGAUACUAAGCCAUGCGAGUCUUUGCAGUAAUGCAAGGCGGACUGCUCAGUAACACGUAGUCAACUUAACCUAUGGAUGGGUAUAACCUCGGGAAACUGAGAAUAAUUCCCAAUAGAUCAUUUAUCCUGGAAUGGUUGAUGAUUGAAAUGAUUCGUCGCCAUAGGAUGGGACUGCGGCCUAUCAGCUUGUUGGUGAGGUAAAGGCCCACCAAGGCUAUUACAGGUACGGGCUCUGAGAGGAGAAGCCCGGAGAUGGGUACUGAGACACGGACCCAGGCCCUAUGGGGCGCAGCAGGCGAGAAAACUUUGCAAUGUGCGAAAGCACGACAAGGUUAAUCCGAGUGAUUUCUGCUAAAGAAAUCUUUUGCCAGUUCUAAAAAUACUGGUGAAUAAGGGGUGGGCAAGUUCUGGUGUCAGCCGCCGCGGUAAAACCAGCACCUCAAGUUGUCAGGAGGAUUAUUGGGCCUAAAGCAUCCGUAGCCGGCUCUGUGAGUUUUCGGUUAAAUCCAUAUGCUCAACAUAUGGGCUGUCGGAAAUACUGCAGAGCUAGGGAAUGGGAGAGGUAGACGGUACUCGGUAGGAAGGGGUAAAAUCCUUUGAUCUAUCGAUGACCACCUGUGGCGAAGGCGGUCUACCAGAACAUGUUCGACGGUGAGGGAUGAAAGCUGGGGGAGCAAACCGGAUUAGAUACCCGGGUAGUCCCAGCUGUAAACGAUGCAGACUAGAUGAUGCAUUAGCAUAUAGCUAGUGCAGUGUCUCAGGGAAGCCGUUAAGUCUGCCGCCUGGGAAGUACGUACGCAAGUAUGAAACUUAAAGGAAUUGGCGGGGGAGCACCACAAGGGGUGAAGCCUGCGGUUCAAUUGGAGUCAACGCCGGG
RNAcentral lists this ribosomal RNA (914 nucleotides) under uncultured archaeon. RNAcentral describes it as "bacterial SSU rRNA". It matches the Rfam family "Archaeal small subunit ribosomal RNA", at positions 1 to 922 of the family's 1478-position model. The record is from RNAcentral.